CAGCAUCACCAUUCGUCCUGCAAACUUCUUUCCAACCGAAGUCCUCGACCCAUGUCGCCAUAUUAGCUGGCAAGAAGGUCCACUUCUCGGGUGCAUGUGUUAUCAGGUGACGCAUUCGCUUCAGUGGACCGUGCCGCCAUUGCUCGCCUCCCCAUCGUGCUCCUGCUUCCUGUCGUUCGUCUUUGAACUUCUUUCCCUCUGCGAUGCGUGUCUCCUCUGUGUAGUCAUUCUUCGAGUCAUCCGCAUCGAUCAGAUAAUCCAUGAGAAGAUGCACCUCGGCCCCCUUUGGGCCACUGUUUUCGUCUCCAGAAAGGGUAAAGUAUUUACGAAUAUCGUCCAACAUAUGACGCAGUUUGUCUGUUGAAACGUAAGGAGAAACUCCCUCGACAAUGAAUGCUGUGUUGACGUCAUGUCGAAUUCCAGGGCAUCUCAGUUUCUCCUCAAAACGAUCGCUCUCUAAGUCGCACGGAAUGAAGCGGAGCGUUCGAUAACCGUUGAGGAGGUCAUCCGCCUUGAGAGACCUUAGAAGUUGUCUACACUUGUGCCGCUGUACAUUGUGCAAAUCCAUUUCAAAAACACAGACGCCUUUGUGCUUUAUGAUUUCAGCG
Molecule: long non-coding RNA, 608 nt
Filed under: Toxoplasma gondii VEG
Lineage: Eukaryota; Apicomplexa; Conoidasida; Eucoccidiorida; Sarcocystidae
Source: RNAcentral